RNAcentral lists this ribosomal RNA (821 nucleotides) under uncultured bacterium. RNAcentral describes it as "bacterial SSU rRNA". It matches the Rfam family "Bacterial small subunit ribosomal RNA", at positions 96 to 914 of the family's 1533-position model. The record is from RNAcentral.
UGGCGAACGGGUGAGUAAUAUAUCGGAACGUACCCAAGAGUGGGGGAUAACGUAGCGAAAGUUACGCUAAUACCGCAUACGAUCUAAGGAUGAAAGCAGGGGAUCUUCGGACCUUGUGCUCCUGGAGCGGCCGAUAUCUGAUUAGCUAGUUGGUGAGGUAAAGGCUCACCAAGGCCACGAUCAGUAGCUGGUCUGAGAGGACGACCAGCCACACUGGAACUGAGACACGGUCCAGACUCCUACGGGAGGCAGCAGUGGGGAAUUUUGGACAAUGGGCGAAAGCCUGAUCCAGCAAUGCCGCGUGAGUGAAGAAGGCUUUCGGGUUGUAAAGCUCUUUUGUCAGGGAAGAAACGGUUUGGGCUAAUACCCUGAGCUAAUGACGGUACCUGAAGAAUAAGCACCGGCUAACUACGUGCCAGCAGCCGCGGUAAUACGUAGGGUGCAAGCGUUAAUCGGAAUUACUGGGCGUAAAGCGUGCGCAGGCGGUUUUGUAAGUCUGACGUGAAAUCCCCGGGCUCAACCUGGGAAUUGCGUUGGAGACUGCAAGGCUAGAAUCUGGCAGAGGGGGGUAGAAUUCCACGUGUAGCAGUGAAAUGCGUAGAGAUGUGGAGGAACACCGAUGGCGAAGGCAGCCCCCUGGGUCAAGAUUGACGCUCAUGCACGAAAGCGUGGGGAGCAAACAGGAUUAGAUACCCUGGUAGUCCACGCCCUAAACGAUGUCUACUAGUUGUCGGGUUUUAAUUAACUUGGUAACGCAGCUAACGCGUGAAGUAGACCGCCUGGGGAGUACGGUCGCAAGAUUAAAACUCAAAGGAAUUGAC